AGCGAACGCUGGCGGCGUGCUUAACACAUGCAAGUCGAACGUGAAAGUAGCAAUAUGAGUAAAGUGGCGUACGGGUGAGUAACACGUGGGUAAUCUACCUUAGAGUCUGGAAUAACGUGCCGAAAGGCGCGCUAAUACUGGAUAGUUCAACGAACAUUAUAACGAUGUUUUUUGGGAAAGGGAGCUCGUAAGAGCCUUUGCUUUAAGAUGAGCCCGCGUCUGAUUAGCUAGUUGGUAAGGUAACGGCUUUACCAAGGCGACGAUCAGUAGCUGGUCUGAGAGGAUGAUCAGCCACACUGGAACUGAAACACGGUCCAGACUCCUACGGAGGCAGCAGUGGGAAUCUUGCGCAAUGGACGAAAAGUCUGACGCAGCCACGCCGCGUGAGUGAAGAA
Molecule: ribosomal RNA, 395 nt
Filed under: uncultured bacterium
Lineage: Bacteria
Description: bacterial SSU rRNA
Rfam family: Bacterial small subunit ribosomal RNA
Source: RNAcentral